UAAUAAAUGCAAUGUAACAAUAAAUGUGCCAAAACACAACAUCCUCAACAAUAGUAAAUUAAGGUUCAAAACUUACUUGAAACCACAAACGGAUGAUCCGAAAAACACCACGAGUAACGUCCACCACACCAUGAAAACUUUGGAAGGAGUGCAACCCAUCACACAUGCACCAGCAACGCAACCAAAAAAGCUUUAGCAUGAAAAUGAGCACCGCAAACCAUCGUGAAAAUGGGCAUCGUAAGACCACUACAAAAAUGACCACUACAAAAAUGACCACCACGAAAAUGACCACCAUGAAAAUGGGCACCACAAGACCAACUAGAGACGGCAAAGACAAACCAUAACUUGACCUACCAAAGUGACAACUUCACCGGCCAUUGCGACGAAAAAGAUGACAAUAACCAACGACAACACAAGGGAACUUCUAUGAACUGAUAGAGCCUUAAAGAGCAUAAGAACGAAUGGAAGCCAAGCACAAAGAGAACCAGAAGGAAUGGAAGCAAAGUGUAGAGAGAAUGAGAAGCUCAAAGGUUUGUGAAAGUGAAGCGCAAAAGGAAGGAGGAGAUGAACAUUAAACAUUCUAUACUGGUUAUAGUGACUAACCGGUAUAGAAAGUGUUCUCCAAUAUUAUAGUUUUUCCACUGCGCCACUUUUUAUACCGAUUUUAGGUCUAAGCGGUGUAAAAAACUAAAUU
This 694-nucleotide long non-coding RNA is filed under the name Vigna radiata. Its description in RNAcentral is "long non-coding RNA (VRAD_LNC016111)". Lineage: Eukaryota; Viridiplantae; Streptophyta; Magnoliopsida; Fabales; Fabaceae. The record is from RNAcentral.